Papaver somniferum (opium poppy) is the source of this 598-nucleotide long non-coding RNA. RefSeq lists it as uncharacterized. NCBI's taxonomy places the organism in Eukaryota, Viridiplantae, Streptophyta, Magnoliopsida, Ranunculales, Papaveraceae. The record is from RefSeq and is a predicted model, not a curated record. The transcript is spliced from 3 exons.
UGUCGUGUUACAGUAUGAAGAUGCCGUGUUACAAUAUGAGCUUGCUUUACAUGUUACCUCAUCCAUUUGAGAUCCACUAUACGUCAUGCAAAUAAACCGGUUUGCUUCUCUAAUUUGGUACUAAUGUAUAAUGAUGUUUAUGAUUCAAAUUAAGGGAAGAUUGUCUAUAAAGAUGAGCUCUAAAGCAUCAAUUGAGAACUGUCUCUUGCUCACCAUUAGUUUGCACAUGGCAUGCUUGAUAGAAGUCCCCUUUGAGUUCAAAUACAUCUACCGCCAGACGUGCACACUUGUUUGCAACAAGUUCAUAAUUUGAGUUCUGAUAUAGAUGAAGCUGCUGGAUCUUUACACCAAGCUGGAGCAAUCGCUGUUAUGAAGUCCAUGCCAUAUCAUUGAAGGACGCUGAACUUAAUACGUACAAGAUCAAAUUGCUACGGAGAUUUACGACGCCCAACCAGAUCUCAGCUAAAACAUGUCAGAACUGAUGCCCCUUGUUUUACAUGGUCAAUUUUUUUGGAUGACCUUAUAAAUGGAGAAAAUAAAAGCAGUGUAUUUUGUUUUAGAAACAGUCCUAAAAAUUAAAUUGAGUACCUUGCUAAUA